This 70-nucleotide transfer RNA is filed under the name Brachyrhaphis terrabensis. RNAcentral describes it as "tRNA-Gln". The record is from RNAcentral. Lineage: Eukaryota; Metazoa; Chordata; Actinopteri; Cyprinodontiformes; Poeciliidae.
UAGGAAGUGGUGUAGUGGAAGCACUAAGAGCUUUGAUCUCUUCAGGUUGGGUUCGAGGCCCUUUCUUUUA